Molecule: ribosomal RNA, 899 nt
Rfam family: Bacterial small subunit ribosomal RNA
AGCCUCGGUUAACUUUCCUUAGAGAAAGGAUGGCGUCUGGAGAAGCCGCUAUUCUGCAGACCCGGUAACUAGGCCAAGGUUCGAAUUUGGCUAAAACUUUAGCGGUUUGGGUUCCGGAAAGUCCGGGUCACCUCGAUUUGCGGGGGUACGGCAAACUAGGGUGAGUAGGGGAGACUGGAAUUCCUGGUUAGCGUGGAAAUGCGCAGAUUUCAGGAGGAACACCGAUGGCGAAGGCAGGUCUCUGGCAUUACUGACGCUGAGGAGCGAAAGCAUGGGGAGCGAACAGGAUUAGAUACCUGGUAGUCAUGCCGUAAACGUUGGGCACUAGGUGUGGGGGACAUUCCACGUUUUCGCGCCGUAGCUAACGCAUUAAGUGCCCCGCCUGGGGAGUACGGCCGCAAGGCUAAAACUCAAAGGAAUUGACGGGGGCCCGCACAAGCGGCGGAGCAUGCGGAUUAAUUCGAUGCAACGCGAAGAACCUUACCAAGGCUUGACAUGUGCCAGACCGCUCCAGAGAUGGGGUUUCCCUUCGGGGCUGGUUCACAGGUGGUGCAUGGUUGUCGUCAGCUCGUGUCGUGAGAUGUUGGGUUAAGUCCCGCAACGAGCGCAACCCUCGUUCCAUGUUGCCAGCACGUAGUGGUGGGGACUCAUGGGAGACUGCCGGGGUCAACUCGGAGGAAGGUGGGGAUGACGUCAAAUCAUCAUGCCCCUUAUGUCUUGGGCUUCACGCAUGCUACAAUGGCCGGUACAAUGGGUUGCGAUACUGUGAGGUGGAGCUAAUCCCUAAAAGCCGGUCUCAGUUCGGAUUGGGGUCUGCAACUCGACCCCAUGAAGUCGGAGUCGCUAGUAAGACGCAGAUCUAUGCAACGCUGCGGGAAUCUUAACUUACUUUAAAAAAA